This 606-nucleotide long non-coding RNA is filed under the name Androctonus crassicauda. Lineage: Eukaryota; Metazoa; Arthropoda; Arachnida; Scorpiones; Buthidae. The record is from RNAcentral.
AACUGCCUUAAACGCAACAAUAAUGCGAAAUCAAAAAGCACUAAACGGCAGGUAGGUAAACAACAUAAAAAGCUUUUAAUGACUAACGUUUUCGGCGCUCUAGGUGCCAUCAUCGGGUAACAGAACAAAAAAAGAAGCUUAUUAAGAAAGGAAGUAAGAAGGUAACUUAUAAAAGACAUCCCACCAUAUAUAAUCUAUUUAGAAAUGAAAAAGAUAAUAGGAAGCAUGAAAAAAUGUCCGGAGUAUAUAGAAUUCCGACAAUGAAUCACGCAAAAAACGAGGAAGAAGCUUAUAUAGGAGUUACAGCGAGACCAUUAGAGCUAAGAAUACAAGAACACAAAAGAGAUGUAGCUAGAGGGAACCUGAACACCGCACUAGCGAGAAGUGCUUAUGAAAGCGAUAUACGAAUAAAUUGGCAUGAGGCGAAAGUAGUUAAGUGUUAAAAAAGAAAAGCAUACCGCCAUGGCAGAAGCCUUAGAAAUUUUCACUAGACAGCAUGAAGAGUCGCUCCUAAAUGACCACCCUGGGCAAGAGUUGCCCCCUCCAUGGAAGUUCCUCUUAAGAAAGAGUAUGUAAAUAUGUGAAAGAAGAAUGGGCAUGUUAAUU